UUAUAAUCGAAUAAUAAAUUAAAUAAACAAUAGGAACGCUGAACGAAACUAUUCAAAGCUAUUGUUUUUGAAGGAGGCCUUUUGAGUCAAUAGCCACGACAAUAGGAAUCCAUGACCGGUUCCGGAGAGCAAAGGCGCAACGAAUAAGCACCAGAACCAUUUUUAGAAGAUUUAUCGUAAAUUGCAUGGCUGUUUUUGUUGUUUUCGUUUUAGAGAUUGUUAUAACGACUGGAUCGGAGGUUGUUGACCGCGUGAAGAAAAGAAAGAAUUGCCGGUGUUGGAAUAGAGGGAAUCGCGGUCAAUUCAACAAUAGAGCGAUAAUUCACGUGCAAUGCCGCACAGGCCAAUUGCACGUGACUCACCCGCCCAAUUGCGGGUAUAAAACGGAAGGACGUUCAGAAGCUCACCUCUAGACAGAUUUAUAGAACAUGCACAAUUAAUAUCUUUAUAUUCGUAUAACAACGUUUUGUUGAUCGAUCGACAUUACGAAAGGCCUAUUAACAAUUACCAAUAUUUAGUUUGAUUACAUUUAAUCGUAUAGUAGUAGGUCAGUUCAGCUGUGUUGUUGGACUUAGCUUACCCCACAAUUAUGUUUUGGUGACGGACUGAUGCCGUCUUCGGAAAAAAGAUUUAACAGCGGCAUAAUCGUAGGAGGCCUCCCGGAUGAAAGGGAUUGCGCAGUAAAUAAACGAAUAAGCAAAUAAAACAGGCGUGGUAAUUUUUUAAGGGAACCGGGAUAAAAACCAGGGAUUAAAAUCCGUCGUUAUUUAUAAUGUUCGUAUUAUAUAUUUUGAACAGGCAAUUAGUUUUGUUUAUUACGAAAUUAUUACCAUUUGAGGAAAGGUUUGGUAUUAAUAUAGAAAUUAAGCGGAAAUAAGCCCACCAAACCCCUAAAACAUUAUAUGGACGUUUACAAAAUAAUAUUUUUACAUUUGUUCGCAUCUUUUGCAUAAUAAGGAAGCGAAAUUUGAAUUUAGGUAUACCGUUCCCUUUUUCGAUAUAAAACAACCUGGAAUUUUGUAAAUCGAAAAUAUUAAAUUAUCCCGAAAUGUAAUUAACGUAUUUAAACCUGUUUAUAAUAAUUUCGCGUAAUCCUACGUAGGCCUCGGUGCUACAAUAAAAAUAUCGGGAUAAUUUGUUUUUAAAAAUAAAGGUACGAUUGCUAAAAGCAAAUGAACGUUAAUAUUGUAAUUGGAGGUUUUCGAUAAUUGGGGUAAAAUUAUAAUCGGUUUCAAAUAUAGUAAACAUCGAGGUUAAAUAAAUUUUAAAUGCUACUAAACAAUUCUAAAAGUAAAUUUAUUUAUACGGUAAUAAGUUUGUUUAUUUAACCUGUGGCCCAAAUGUGAUUUUUUUUAAUUUUUACAAAUUAUUUGACGUAAUUUGCUUUUGGCGUUAAUUCUAAUUUCAAGAAAUUAUUCGAUAUUAUACCUUGGUAAUUACGUAUAGUUACCCGAUUCCAUCUUUAUAAAAUCCUGGGUUUUGUCGGCAGAAUUCUACCUUUUUUCCCUGGUACCGUCCCGGUUAUAAUAUUAGGGGUGUUUUCGGGCCCUUUUGCCCGCUGCUGUUUAACGGAAAUCCGGGUAAAUAAAAAAUCGAUUAUUAAAACCCAUUUUGGCCUUUAAAUUGGUUUAUGGCGAUAUUAAAAAAAAAUUAGGACAGGCGAUAUUAGGCAAAUUAUAAAAUAAAUUAUAUAAAUUUUGAAAUU
RNAcentral lists this small RNA (1705 nucleotides) under Pyricularia oryzae. Its description in RNAcentral is "Magnaporthe oryzae sRNA M_BR32_EuGene_00127611". The record is from RNAcentral. Lineage: Eukaryota; Fungi; Ascomycota; Sordariomycetes; Magnaporthales; Pyriculariaceae.